AUAGUUUCUUUUGCUGUUCAGUAUACCUUCAUUCUCGAUUGCACAGUCGGAACUGUCUCGGAACUGAAUUCUGACACACUCGAUUGUUGUUUACCUGUUAGAACGUUUUGAAUUCUCAAUCGAGCUAGCCUAUCAAUUACAUUCCAGAAUAGUAUCCAAGGUCACGUUGUUAUUGUGUCUAAGUUAUGUUUCUAUGUUUCGAAUUGGCGAUACAUACCUUGUGAAAAUAAUACCUUUAUUGCAUUUUUUCACACUUUCGAGAAUUCACGAAGACGUGCCUUCAAAGUUCGGCGUAGGAUCAUUCUAUGUAAAUUGAGACCUGCAAAUAUCAAAUUUACAAAUACGCAGUUCACAACUAAAUCCGCAAGAAUCAACAAAACGGUCCACGAUACGUUACAUGAGUUGCAGACUUGUUUAAUAUCGGUUGAAGAUAUUCCAAAGCUUACUGUAUUCCGAUCAAGGGGUAAAAAACUACACGUUUAACAACAAACGGUUAUUUGUUUUCAAACAGCUGGCCAGUUAUUACAGGAAACACUUUAAUGUAGAUCUAAUUGUUCCGGUUUUAUUUCACGUGACAUUAAAUAGAGUGAAGGUUUCAAGAACAUUUGGACGUACUCCUGAAAAUAUAUCCCAGAUAAAUAAAAAGAAAAGAGUAAGAACUUCAGAAGAACCAAGACGUUUUACGUUCGUUCCACAAAAGAGCACAAACAAAAAUGUGUUCCGACUGAACAGUCCAGAAU
Mercenaria mercenaria is the source of this 740-nucleotide long non-coding RNA. RefSeq lists it as uncharacterized. Lineage: Eukaryota; Metazoa; Mollusca; Bivalvia; Venerida; Veneridae. The record is from RefSeq and is a predicted model, not a curated record. The transcript is spliced from 2 exons.